AGCGAACGUUAGCGGCGCGCUUAACACAUGCAAGUCGCACGAGAAAGGGGGCAACCCCCGGUACAGUGGCGCACGGGUGAGUAACACGUGGAUGAUCUUCCUGGGAGUGGUGGAUAACCUGCCGAAAGGCGGGCUAAGACAGCAUAGGACCACGCUACUACGGUAGUGGGGUGAAAGCGGGCUUCUGUUCACACGCUCGCGCUUCCAGAUGAGUCCGCGGUCCAUCAGCUAGUUGGUGAGGUAAUGGCUCACCAAGGCGACGACGGAUAG
RNAcentral lists this ribosomal RNA (270 nucleotides) under uncultured bacterium. RNAcentral describes it as "partial 16S ribosomal RNA". It matches the Rfam family "Bacterial small subunit ribosomal RNA", at positions 29 to 286 of the family's 1533-position model. The record is from RNAcentral.